This 301-nucleotide ribosomal RNA is filed under the name uncultured bacterium. RNAcentral's name for it is "bacterial SSU rRNA". It matches the Rfam family "Bacterial small subunit ribosomal RNA", at positions 775 to 1067 of the family's 1533-position model. The record is from RNAcentral.
GGAUUAGAUACCCUGGUAGUCCACGCCGUAAACGUUGUGCACUAGAUUCUGAGAGUUUCAACGCUUUCGGGAUCGUAGGGAAACCGUUAAGUGCGCCGCCUGGGGAGUACGGUCGCAAGGCUAAAACUCAAAGGAAUUGACGGGGGCUCACACAAGCGGUGGAGCAUGUGGCUUAAUUCGAGGCAACGCGAAGAACCUUAUCCUGGAUUUGACAUGUAUGGAUUAGCGCUUGGAAACUUGCGUAACGCGGCUUGCCGUGGAACAUACACAGGUGCUGCAUGGCUGUCGUCAGCUCGUGCCG